UAAUACUAGCGGUCCAAGUCGCAGCCAUUUUUAUUGGGUCUAAAACAUCCGUAGCUUGCUUGAUAAGUUUCCUGUGAAAUCCUAUCUCUCAAAAAUAGGGCGUGCAAGAAAUACUAUCAAGCUAGAGACUGGAAGACGUAAGGAGUACGAUUGAGGUAGCGGUAAAAUGUUUUAAUCUUGGUCGGACUAACAAGAGCGAAGGCACCUUACGAGGACGGUUCUGACAGUAAGGGAUGAAGGCUAGGGGCGCAAAACGGAUUAGAUACCCGUGUAGUCCUAGCAGUAAACACUGCACACUAAACAUUAGUACCUCCCCGAGAGGUAUUGGUGCUGUAGGGAAGCCGAAGAGUGUGCUACCUGGGAAGUAUAGUCGCAAGGCCG
This 381-nucleotide ribosomal RNA is filed under the name uncultured archaeon. RNAcentral's name for it is "bacterial SSU rRNA". It matches the Rfam family "Archaeal small subunit ribosomal RNA", at positions 471 to 851 of the family's 1478-position model. The record is from RNAcentral.